This 21-nucleotide unclassified non-coding RNA is filed under the name Chlamydomonas reinhardtii. RNAcentral's name for it is "small RNA Cre_2592". The record is from RNAcentral. Lineage: Eukaryota; Viridiplantae; Chlorophyta; Chlorophyceae; Chlamydomonadales; Chlamydomonadaceae.
UCCUGAGCGGCACUGUGAACC